Molecule: long non-coding RNA, 375 nt
Filed under: Brassica rapa (field mustard)
Lineage: Eukaryota; Viridiplantae; Streptophyta; Magnoliopsida; Brassicales; Brassicaceae
Description: long non-coding RNA (BRAP_LNC002281)
Source: RNAcentral
UUUUUGGAGUUUUUGAACAUAUCCAACUCAACUUCAUUAUAAAGUUAAUCUAUUUUAGAAUAAAAAAUAAAUUUAUUCUAUUUAUUUGUUUCAUAAAAAUUGUUAUUUAAAAAAUAUUCACACAUACUAAAAAUUAUGUUUUAUUAUUUAUGUAUACACUAAAUACAUUUUCUCUAAUAAAUACAUUAAAACAAUAGAGAUAAAAAAUAAAUUUAAAUUUAGAUCUUCGUAUAAAAAAUAUAAACAAAAAAAAAUUGCAUUGAAAAUAUAAAUUAACAAUCUUUGUAAAAAAAACUUUAAAAUGACAAUAUUUUGAAACAGAAAGAGUAGUAAAAUUUACAUCUUAUUAAUAUUAUACUAGAUUUUGACCCGUGC